This 460-nucleotide ribosomal RNA is filed under the name uncultured bacterium. Its description in RNAcentral is "partial 16S ribosomal RNA". It matches the Rfam family "Bacterial small subunit ribosomal RNA", at positions 338 to 795 of the family's 1533-position model. The record is from RNAcentral.
CCUACGGGGGGCAGCAGUGAGGCAUAUUGGUCAAUGGGCGUAAGCCUGAACCAGCCAAGUCGCGUGAGGGAUGAAGGUUCUAUGGAUCGUAAACCUCUUUUAUAAGGGAAUAAAGUGUGGGACGUGUCCUUUUUUGUAUGUACCUUAUGAAUAAGGAUCGGCUAACUCCGUGCAAGCAGCCGCGGUACUACGGAGGCUCCGAGCGUUAGCCGGAUUUAUUGGGUUUAAAGGGUGCGUAGGCGGCCUUUUAAGUCAGCGGGGAAAGUUUGUGGCUCAACCAUAUAAUUGCAGUGGAUACUGGGAGGCUUGAGGAUGUUUGAGGCAGGCGGAAUGCGUGGUGUAGCGGUGAAAUGCUGAGAUAUCACGCAGAACCCCGAUUGCGAAGGCAGCCUGCCAAGCCAUGACUGACGCUGAUGCACGAAAGCGUGGGGAUCAAACAGGAUUAGAUACCCCGGUAGUC